This 328-nucleotide ribosomal RNA is filed under the name uncultured eukaryote. Its description in RNAcentral is "partial 18S ribosomal RNA". It matches the Rfam family "Eukaryotic small subunit ribosomal RNA", at positions 1470 to 1796 of the family's 1831-position model. The record is from RNAcentral.
CCCUUAGAUGUUCUGGGCCGCACGCGCGCUACACUGAUACGUUCAGCGAGUAUAUAACCUUGAUUGGAAAAUCUGGGUAAUCUUUUGAGUGCGUAUCGUGCUAGGGAUAGAUUAUUGCAAUUAUUAAUCUUGAACGAGGAAUUCCUAGUAAACGCAAGUCAUCAGCUUGCAUUGAUUACGUCCCUGCCCUUUGUACACACCGCCUGUCGCACAAACCGAUUGAAUGAUUCGGUGAAAAUUUUGGACAUCGAGAGUGGUGAUUAAUUUCGCUGCUCUUAAAUGGAAAGAAUUUAAACCUAAUUAUUUAGAGGAUUGUGAAGUCAUAACA